This 891-nucleotide transfer RNA is filed under the name uncultured cyanobacterium. RNAcentral's name for it is "partial contains 16S ribosomal RNA, 16S-23S ribosomal RNA intergenic spacer, and 23S ribosomal RNA". The stretch from base 343 to 415 matches the Rfam family "tRNA". Lineage: Bacteria; Bacillati; Cyanobacteriota. The record is from RNAcentral.
UGGAUCACCUCCUAACAGGGAGACAACAACUGAUCGUGAUGUCUGAGUACUUUAUUCUCAGGCCAUGAUCCUGUCAUCUCGAAGGUCGAUCGGUACCUCAAUUUCAAGCCCAGUAACACUUGAGUAAUCAAGCUGUUGACUGAGAGUUUGAUCUUUAGUUCCUAAACGUUGUCUAGGUCACCCCAUAGAGGGUUCACUUCCUGGGCCAUUAGCUCAGGUGGUUAGAGCGCACCCCUGAUAAGGGUGAGGUCCCUGGUUCAAGUCCAGGAUGGCCCAUUCAAACCAUGAUCAACUCCAAUGCUUGCAGGUUCAUCCUGUGGGUGUGGGGAAGAGACAGGUCUUGGGGGUUUAGCUCAGUUGGUAGAGCGCCUGCUUUGCAAGCAGGAUGUCAGCGGUUCGAGUCCGCUAACCUCCACUAACAUCUGAACUCCAAACCAGGAAGCGAUUCUUGGGAGGUGACUAGACGUUGUUCGCUGAUCGAGUUCAGCCUCAGUGCAUUCCAAUCUUGGUUGCUCUGAUGCUGGGUUCAACACCACGGCUGAAAGGUUAGUGGUGUUUGAGAUUCAGCAGAACCUUGACAGCUGCAUAGGUGAGUCUGGAAAGACAAAGCAUCUCAUAGAGGCGAGAUGAUAAGAGCUGUAAAGCUUGAGUCAACUCGUGAUUCUAUUUUUGAGAGCCGAGACCUUCUAGCGUUCUUCCCAAUCCGCCGAGGUGCGGGGAGUCUGAUCCUUGCUUGCUAGCACGUCUGCUUUUGAUCGGGAAACCAAUCAAAGGCAACUCUGUUGCAAGCUUGAGAGAAUAGGCCUCAACAGCCUGAAGCGUUAGGAGGGUUAAUUGGUCAAGCUACAAAGGGCUCACGGUGGAUACCUUGGCACACAGAGGCGAUGAAGG